GGCAUGCUUUGUCCAUCAUCACAGUGUAUUUCAACCCACAGUUCCCUGUAUUCCGGAGAGUCUGGUGUCAAGUACUAGCUGCAGUAAUAAUGUAGUCACCAUGUCAUGGGUGAGCAAUGAGGCUGGGGAGCUCUAUACGGUCCAGGCCUUCAGCGCUGAUGGGUUAUUCUCUGACAGCUGCUCGGGGUUUGGUCAGUCAUGUGAUCUCAAAUCACUGACAUGUGGUGAGCCUUACACUGCUACAGUAGUAGCACAGGACAGCGUCUGCACCAGCGCACCAAGUCAAGUUGCUUCAAUCAGGACAGUGCCCUGUGUGCCGGAUAAUGUGACUGCUAAUGUGAGCUGCCAAGGGAAUGAUCUGUCUGUGUUCUGGGAGGAGAGCGCAGGAGCAGACUCUUACACAGCUGUGCUAGAGGACAGUAAUGGCCAAUUCACCAGCUGUCAGAGCAUGAUCCACACCACCUGUACAGUUAACAGACUUGUCUGCGGACAGACCUACCGUGUCAGUGUGACAGCAUCAGACGGAUACUGUGACAGCUUGCCCAGUGCCAUCACUGAAGUUCAGUCAGGUAGGAAGCAGUGAGGACAGGCUUACAUGCACACAAACAUGUCAAAUUCA
This 619-nucleotide long non-coding RNA is filed under the name Carassius auratus (goldfish). RNAcentral's name for it is "lncRNA (ENSCARG00000031900.1)". The record is from RNAcentral. Lineage: Eukaryota; Metazoa; Chordata; Actinopteri; Cypriniformes; Cyprinidae.